This 252-nucleotide ribosomal RNA is filed under the name uncultured bacterium. Its description in RNAcentral is "partial 16S ribosomal RNA". It matches the Rfam family "Bacterial small subunit ribosomal RNA", at positions 524 to 775 of the family's 1533-position model. The record is from RNAcentral.
UACGGAGGAUCCAAGCGUUAUCCGGAUUUAUUGGGUUUAAAGGGUGCGUAGGCGGCUUAUUAAGUCAGGGGUGAAAGACGGUAGCUUAACUAUCGCAGCGCCUUUGAUACUGAUGAGCUUGAAUACACUAGAGGUAGGCGGAAUGUGACAAGUAGCGGUGAAAUGCAUAGAUAUGUCACAGAACACCAAUUGCGAAGGCAGCUUACUAUGGUGCAAUUGACGCUGAGGCACGAAAGCGCGGGGAUCAAACAG